ACGUAGGGGGCGAGCGUUGUCUGGAUUUAUUGGGCGUAAAGAGCUCGUAGGCGGUUUGGCAAGUCGGGUGUGAAAACUCCGGGCUCAACUCGGAGACGCCACUCGAUACUGCCAUGACUCGAGUCCGGUAGGGGAGUGCGGAAUUCCUGGUGUAGCGGUGAAAUGCGUAGAUAUCUGGAGGAACACCGGUGGCGAAGGCGGCAUCCUGGACCGGCAUUGACGCUGAGGCGCGAAAGCCAGGGGAGCAAACGGGA
This 254-nucleotide ribosomal RNA is filed under the name uncultured prokaryote. RNAcentral's name for it is "partial 16S ribosomal RNA". It matches the Rfam family "Bacterial small subunit ribosomal RNA", at positions 525 to 777 of the family's 1533-position model. The record is from RNAcentral.